This 218-nucleotide ribosomal RNA is filed under the name uncultured Pseudomonas sp. RNAcentral describes it as "partial 16S ribosomal RNA". It matches the Rfam family "Bacterial small subunit ribosomal RNA", at positions 1168 to 1382 of the family's 1533-position model. Lineage: Bacteria; Pseudomonadati; Pseudomonadota; Gammaproteobacteria; Pseudomonadales; Pseudomonadaceae. The record is from RNAcentral.
GGAAGGUGGGGAUGACGUCAAGUCAUCAUGGCCCUUACGGCCUGGGCUACACACGUGCUACAAUGGUCGGUACAAAGGGUUGCCAAGCCGCGAGGUGGAGCUAAUCCCAACUAAAACCGAUCGUAGUCCGGAUCGCAGUCUGCAACUCGACUGCGUGAAGUCGGAAUCGCUAGUAAUCGUGAAAUCAGAAUGUCACGGUGAAUACGUUCCCGGGCCUU